UGAAUGGGCAAUGUUGUGUUGAUACGC
This 27-nucleotide non-coding RNA is filed under the name Homo sapiens (human). The record is from RNAcentral. Lineage: Eukaryota; Metazoa; Chordata; Mammalia; Primates; Hominidae.